AUAUUAACCCAGAAUAGGAGAUAUCAUGAUCAUGAAAGUGGUUUUCUCAGGGAGAGGAUUUUUUCAUUGUACUCUGAAUUGCUGUCCCCCAAAUGGGGGAAACUCAACUGCAUAAUUUGUGGUAGUGGAAGACUACAUUCGUUCUCUCCCC
Molecule: small nuclear RNA, 151 nt
Organism: Rattus norvegicus (Norway rat)
Lineage: Eukaryota; Metazoa; Chordata; Mammalia; Rodentia; Muridae
Product: U1 spliceosomal RNA
Source: Ensembl